AUGAAGACUAGAUUGUUUCCAUGACUUGAACACCCAUUCCUCCACCUUGACACAGGGUCUGCCAUUGCCCUCAAUGACCACCUGGCUUACAGAGUGAAGUGAAGGAGCAGAGUGAAGACUCCCCCUCUAUGCUGUACAUCAAGCUCUUCUCUAGCUCUUCUCCAACAGCUGAGACAGGAAAUGAGACAAGGAAGGAUGCGUGUCCAACUUUCUUCAACCACUAAGAAUAAAGGGAGAGAGCAAAAUGUCAACAGGACCAGAAUCAGAUCUUGAAAGAACAAGAACAUGGAGACUUGGAGACAAGAGGAAAGGAACAGAAAAAACCACCCUUAUAAGAUCAGAAGAUUUAGUAUCAUCUCACAGCUCCCUUCAUUUGAGAGAAAACACGGGUACAAGCAGGAGGAGUGGGAAAAGGAGAAGCAGGAUCCCUGCUGAGUAUGGAGCCUGAUGCAGGACUCCAUCCCAGGACCCUGGGAUCAUGACCUGAGCCGAAGGCAGAGGCUUAUUAACCAACUGAGACACCCAGGCACCCCUAUCACUAUUAUUAUUAAAAAGUUUAAAAGACUUAAAAUUAGAAUGAUUUGUAUGCCACCAGCUUUUCAUACUCCCUUAAUAUCCUAAUGUGAAGAGAAUCUCCCAAAAAAGGGACCUUAAUACAAUUUUCCAGACUUUUUGGCACCUUUUUUUUUUCCUCAAAGCACCUUGGAGAGAAAAUGUCUUUCUCUCUUUACCUGUGUCAGAAAAGAUACCUUAAGCCAUUCUUAGCUUUAAUUUCAUAGUGGAAAUCAAUUCUCAGAUUAAAUCUGCCAGCAGUUUAAA
Molecule: long non-coding RNA, 819 nt
Filed under: Mustela putorius furo (domestic ferret)
Lineage: Eukaryota; Metazoa; Chordata; Mammalia; Carnivora; Mustelidae
Description: lncRNA (ENSMPUG00000029186.1)
Source: RNAcentral